RNAcentral lists this long non-coding RNA (1439 nucleotides) under Homo sapiens (human). RNAcentral describes it as "HSALNT0252452". Lineage: Eukaryota; Metazoa; Chordata; Mammalia; Primates; Hominidae. The record is from RNAcentral.
AUCCCCACAUGUCAUGGGAGGGAAGGUAAUUUAAUCAUGGGGGUGGUUACCCUCAUGCUGCUCAUGCUGUUCUCAUGAUAGUAAGCCAGUUCUCAUGAGAUCUGAUGGUUUUACGAGGGGCUUACCCCUUCACUCAGCUCUCAUACUUCUUCCAGCUGCCCUGUGAAGAAAGACGUGUUUGCUUUUCCUUCAGCCAUGAUUAUUUGAUGAAGCCAGCUUUCAUGUUACGAGCUACCUCUGUGGAGAAGCCCACAUGUCAAGAGAGUGGAUGACCCUCUUGCCCACAGCCAGUGAGGAAUGGAGGCCCUGAGGCCAAUGGGCUACAAAGAACUAAAUCCUGUCAACAUUCAUAUGCAUGACCUUGGAAUCAGAUCCCACCCCCAUCAAGGCCUGACAUGACUGCAAUCCCAGCUGACAUUUUGAUUGUAGUCAUGUAAGAGUCCCAGAGGACCCAGUUAAGCUAGGCACAGUCUCUUAAUGCGGGGAAAUUGUGAAGUAAUUAGUACUGUUGUUUUGGGAUAAUGUGUUACGUAACAAGAGACAGGUGAUACAACAUCUCUGAGAUUCUCAACAUGUUUGGUAAAAAUAAUUAAACUGCUUUUAAUGUAUAUGUCAUGAUUAAUGUUAUCUAUAAUGAGUGUAUUAGGGAUACAUUAAUAUUCACAAAGACUAUAUAGCUAUUAACUAAUUGUUCUGUGGCUUAUAGACAUAAUUUUGGAUGAUUCGUUCUUUUUUUGCCACUAAUAAAUAUACAAAAACCUUUCAUGUUUUAAAAUGAAUAAAAAGUUAUAAUUCUGAAGAGGUCCUUUAUUUAAAUGAAACACACUAAAACCAUUGAAUUUUAAUAUUUAUAUUAUGAAAUGAUCUGCCACUGUUUUUUGUAAGUGUACCUGCUAUUAUGACUAUAUUUUCAAGUUAAAGAUUCAUGACGUUUUUGUGAGAAAAUAUUUUAAAAACUUGUUAAUUUUUUCAGAUUAACUACAAAAAAUCUAUUGUAAAAAUUUAUAAAAUACUAAUAAUUAAGUCUCUUUAUUUUCAUGUCAGUGCUCUUAAAAUAUAGGUUGUUUCAAAGACAGUAGCAAUAAAAAUGUCAAUUCAGAAUUCCUUCAGGGAUGACCCUAAGUCUAACAGGUAUAUCCUUUGAAACAAGAAAAAUAUCUAGCACCUUGGGAAAUGAAAAUAGUACAUUUUUAUUUUCUCUUAAUAAAAUUAACUCAGAUUGUCAAUUGUUUAUUGUUUCUGUUUGAUACCAUUGAGGUAUUUGUUCCAGAGAUAAAAAUAUGUAUGCUGAAAAUACUGGAAAUUUUUGGAUGUAUUUUAAAACAGAAAAGAACAAGACCAGGUGCGGGGGCUCAUGCCUGUAAUCCCAGAACUUUGGGAGACUGAGGUGGGUGGAUCACAAGGUGAAGAGUUCAAGACAAGCCUGGCCAAGAUGGUGA